Molecule: long non-coding RNA, 1552 nt
Filed under: Marmota monax (woodchuck)
Lineage: Eukaryota; Metazoa; Chordata; Mammalia; Rodentia; Sciuridae
Source: RNAcentral
UCAGGGUCCUGACUCAUCUGAAAAGAUCAUACCACACAGUGAGGGAAGAGGCCCCCUUCCAGAAGACGACUCUGGAUCCCAGCAUCUGUCAGGGGCUUGGCACCUGAGGCACUCUAAGAACACUGAAAGAAGGCUGCAUGGGAGCCUGAGCUAGCCCCUGGAAUGCUUCUGAGGGAACAGGGAAAGGACAGAGGUGUUUCAAUCACAUACACUCUCUCCUUAUUUCAAAGGUAAUGGUUUCUCAUUGAACAAACUUUAGAAAAUAUAGAUAAGAGAAAACAAGUUAAAACUACCCAACAUCCCACCACCCAGAGAUUAAAAGGCACCCCAAAUCUUACCACUAUUGAGGAGACCAUCCUCAGCAGCCUGGGCUUCAGGUCAACAGCCAGGUUCUGUUACCUGCCACUGUGUGAUCUCAGACUAGCCAUUCUACUCCUAGAUACCUCAUUUUCCUCACCUGAAAACAGGAAGAAUAAAUUACCCAUAGGUUUGUCAUGAGAGUUAACUGAAAGAACUCAGUGGACAGCUAUUAUAACGUUUUGGUAUGUGUCCUUUUGACCUUUUCCCUUAUGCAAAUAUAUACUAUACACAGGUAAUAAUAUAUAUGGAAAAAUGGAAGCUGAGUUCCAGUAUACUUCUUGAAUAAAGAGAAAAUGCUAUUAUUUCAGUCCCAGCACAUCAAAGCAAAGCUGAGCUUGCUUUCUGAAUUCUCUGUCUCACACACAGCCCUGCAUGUCCUUCCUUCAUAGUCAGGUAGAGCCUUCCUCCCACUUUAAGGUGUGAGCUCCUCCUAAACUCACCUGGGGUCUAGUAAGUGAAUAGGAUCAAAUCUGGUCUAUGAUUUUUCAUUAACUGUGACCCAGAUGUUCUGCAUCUUAUCCUCGAUGCAAUGAUACUUCUCAGAAUGAAACAGAGAUCACUGUUUCCAGUGUCAUAGGAUACAAGCCAUUUAAAUGCACUAUAAGGAUAUCGUUUUAAAUUAGACAGGUUUAGCAAAGAGAGAUUGAGAUAGUCAUGCCAUCCCCUCAGUUUGUGAAUAUUCUUCCAGCACUUCUCUAUUCUAAUGUUUAUUAAAUUGUAUUAUCUAAAAUGUAGAAAAAUCACUUCAUUAUUUGGGCAUGUUUUUGUCUGUCCCACAAGACUUAUGCUCCCUCUUCUUGUUUCACUGCUUAGGGUCAUAUACAAAAAUUUUCAGUUUACAUUUUACAACUGAAUGAAUAAGCAAAUGGGUAAGUAGACUCCUGCCCAAGUAGAAGAUAAAAGAGAACUAAACCCAGAACUGAAAGCCAGAUCUCAAGAUUCUCAGCCCAGUUCUUGUAUCUCUCUCUAAGAUAACUUGUGUCAUGUGUCAAACCCAAAUGAUUCACCAAAUAGACCCUGAGCAUCUACUAAUGUGCCAGGGGUGCUUCCUCUAAUAGUUAUACACAGAGAGUUGGGGGUAUUGACCUUAGCCAUUGCUAUUGUCAAGAGUCUAAGAAAUCUAAGCCCUGCUACCCAGAGGAGGGUCCUACUUCCCAUACUCUGCUCUAGCCCAGCCUAAUAUAAAAGUCAG